Molecule: ribosomal RNA, 253 nt
Filed under: uncultured bacterium
Lineage: Bacteria
Description: partial 16S ribosomal RNA
Rfam family: Bacterial small subunit ribosomal RNA
Source: RNAcentral
UACGUAGGGUGCAAGCGUUGUCCGGAAUUAUUGGGCGUAAAGAGCUCGUAGGCGGUUUGUUGCGUCGGCUGUGAAAUCCCGAUGCUCAACCUCGGGUCUGCAGUCGAUACGAGCAAACUAGAGUGUUGCAGGGGAGACUGGAAUUCCUGGUGUAGCGGUGAAAUGCGCAGAUAUCAGGAGGAACACCGGUGGCGAAGGCGGGUCUCUGGGCAACAACUGACGCUGAGGAGCGAAAGCGUGGGGAGCGAACAGG